ACCACCAAGAUUAACUCAAAAGUAUAGAUAAUUUAGCAUUAAAUGAAUAACAAAACUAAAUCAUUUUUCCACCUUAGUACGGGAGACGGAAAAGGUAAUUUAAGCAAUAGAGAAAGUACCGCAAGGGAAAGCUGAAAGAGUAAUGAAAUAAUUCAUUUAAGCACAAAAAAGCAGAGCUUAACCCUUGUACCUUUUGCAUCAUGAUUUAGCCAGCACUACUCAAGCAAAGUGACCUUUAGUUUGAAACCCCGAAACCAAGUGAGCUACCCCGGGACAGCCUUAAAGGGCGAACCCGUCUCUGUGGCAAAAGAGUGGGAAGAGCCCCGGGUAGAGGUGAUAAACCUACCGAACUUGGUGAUAGCUGGUUGCCUGAGAAAUGAAUAGAAGUUCAGCCUCGUAUCCCUUUAGCCAACCAAGAAAUAUCUGAAUAAGCACAAAAGAGAAAUACGAGAGUUAGUUGAAGGGGGUACAGCCCCUUUAAUAAAGGACACAACCUUAAAUAGGUGGAUAAGAGUCACACUUUAUAAAACUAGUUGUUCCAGUGGGCCUAAAAGCAGCCAUCUGAGUAGAAAGCGUUAAAGCUCAAACAACAUGCAGUUUAUUAUACUGAUAAAUAACCCAACUCCCCUAAAAAUAUCAGGCCAUUCCAUGCCACCAUGGAAGAGACCAUGCUAAAAUGAGUAAUAGGAGGAUAUGAUCCUCUCCUAGCACAAGUGUAAGCCAGAUCGGACAAACCACUGGAAAUUAACGAGCCCAGAAAAAGAGGGUAAUGUGGCCAACAAGAAAAUCAGGAAGAUACCACAGCAUUUAUAUCGUUAAACCCACACUGGAGUGCCUCCAAGGAAAGACUAAAAGAAGGGGAAGGAACUCGGCAAACACAAGCCUCGCCUGUUUACCAAAAACAUCGCCUCCUGCAAAUCCCUACGUAUAGGAGGUCCAGCCUGCCCGGUGACUACAAGUUUAACGGCCGCGGUAUUUUGACCGUGCAAAGGUAGCGCAAUCACUUGUCUUUUAAAUGAAGACCUGUAUGAAUGGCUAAACGAGGGCUUAGCUGUCUCCCUUUUCAAGUCAGUGAAAUUGAUCUACCCGUGCAG
Molecule: ribosomal RNA, 1094 nt
Filed under: Triplophysa robusta
Lineage: Eukaryota; Metazoa; Chordata; Actinopteri; Cypriniformes; Nemacheilidae
Description: partial large subunit ribosomal RNA
Rfam family: Bacterial large subunit ribosomal RNA
Source: RNAcentral